Molecule: ribosomal RNA, 342 nt
Filed under: uncultured soil bacterium
Lineage: Bacteria
Description: bacterial SSU rRNA
Rfam family: Bacterial small subunit ribosomal RNA
Source: RNAcentral
AGAUUGAACGCUGGCGGCAGGCCUAACACAUGCAAGUCGAGCGGUAGAGAGGUGCUUGCAUCUCUUGAGAGCGGCGGACGGGUGAGUAAUGCCUAGGAAUCUGCCUAGUGGUGGGGGAUAACGUUCGGAAACGGACGCUAAUACCGCAUACGUCCUACGGGAGAAAGCGGGGGACCUUCGGGCCUCGCGCCAUUAGAUGAGCCUAGGUCGGAUUAGCUAGGUUGGUGAGGUAAUGGCUCACCAAGGCGACGAUCCGUAACUGGUCUGAGAGGAUGAUCAGUCACACUGGAACUGAGACCACGGUCCAGACUCCGUACGGGGAGCCAGCAGCGGGGAAUAGUU